CGAGCAACAGCCGUUAUUGGACUUAGAGGCGAUUAGAACUUCUAGAAUAUGAGAAAAAGUUCCCUACUGCUGAAGAUGUUGAUUAUCCAUCUCCUUCUCCUGCCAUAUAGAUUGCUUCCUCCGUUGACAUAAUAGGUCUGUGGGAAGGGACCCAUAAAAGACCUAAUAAAAGACAUAAUAGGUAAGGCACCCUAAGCCCAUAACCCUUCUGUCUUUCUAGUAGCUGCAACCCUCCGAAUCCUUCCUAGUGUUAUAGCUCGCUCGCCCUUAGUUGAGUAGAGGAAUUGGUAGUUUGAUAAAUGGAUAGGCCCUGAUCGUUGACUCAGCAUGAUACUUAUUCCCGAAGACCUUAAAAGGAGUGUGAGUGGGUCAGUUUUCAGUUAA
Molecule: long non-coding RNA, 384 nt
Filed under: Manihot esculenta (cassava)
Lineage: Eukaryota; Viridiplantae; Streptophyta; Magnoliopsida; Malpighiales; Euphorbiaceae
Description: long non-coding RNA (MESC_LNC010793)
Source: RNAcentral